RNAcentral lists this ribosomal RNA (482 nucleotides) under uncultured bacterium. RNAcentral describes it as "partial 16S ribosomal RNA". It matches the Rfam family "Bacterial small subunit ribosomal RNA", at positions 30 to 507 of the family's 1533-position model. The record is from RNAcentral.
AUUGAACGCUGGCGGCAUGCUUUACACAUGCAAGUCGAACGGUAACAGGCCGCAAGGUGCUGACGAGUGGCGAACGGGUGCGUAAUGCAUCGGAACGUGCCCAGUCGUGGGGGAUAACUACUCGAAAGAGUAGCUAAUACCGCAUACGAUCUAUGGAUGAAAGCGGGGGACCGUAAGGCCUCGCGCGAUUGGAGCGGCCGAUGUCAGAUUAGGUAGUUGGUGGGGUAAAGGCUCACCAAGCCAACGAUCUGUAGCUGGUCUGAGAGGACGACCAGCCACACUGGAACUGAGACACGGCCCAGACUCCUACGGGAGGCAGCAGUGGGGAAUUUUGGACAAUGGGCGCAAGCCUGAUCCAGCAAUGCCGCGUGCAGGAAGAAGGCCUUCGGGUUGUAAACUGCUUUUGUACGGAACGAACCGGUUCUGGUUAAUACCCGGGGAUAAUGACGGUACCGUAAGAAUAAGCACCGGCUAACUACGUG